GACGAGGGGUCCAAGCGUUGUUCGGAAUCAUUGGGCGUAAAGCGGGUGUAGGCGGCUCUAUAAGUCAGGAGUGAAAGCCCCGAGCUUAACUUGGGAAGUGCUUUUGAUACUGCAGAGCUUGAAUGUGGGAGAGGUUAGUGGAAUUCCAGGUGUAGUGGUGAAAUACGUAGAUAUGACAUAGAACACCAAUUGCGAAGGCAGCUUACUACGGAUAUAUUGACACUGAGGCACGAAAGCGUGGGGAUCAAACAGG
RNAcentral lists this ribosomal RNA (253 nucleotides) under uncultured bacterium. Its description in RNAcentral is "partial 16S ribosomal RNA". It matches the Rfam family "Bacterial small subunit ribosomal RNA", at positions 524 to 776 of the family's 1533-position model. The record is from RNAcentral.